RNAcentral lists this ribosomal RNA (197 nucleotides) under Candidatus Bathyarchaeota archaeon. RNAcentral's name for it is "partial 16S ribosomal RNA". It matches the Rfam family "Bacterial small subunit ribosomal RNA", at positions 1185 to 1381 of the family's 1533-position model. The record is from RNAcentral. Lineage: Archaea; Thermoproteati; Candidatus Bathyarchaeota.
UCAAAUCAGCACGGCCCUUAUGUCCAGGGCUACACACGUGUUACAAUGGCCGGUACAGAGGGCAGCUACCUGGUGACAGGAUGCCAAUCUCAAAAGCCGGUCUCAGUUCGGAUUGGAGUCUGCAACCCGACUCCAUGAAGUUGGAAUCGCUAGUAAUCGCGCAUCAGCCAUGGCGCGGUGAAUACGUUCCCGGGCCU